RNAcentral lists this ribosomal RNA (252 nucleotides) under uncultured bacterium. Its description in RNAcentral is "partial 16S ribosomal RNA". It matches the Rfam family "Bacterial small subunit ribosomal RNA", at positions 524 to 776 of the family's 1533-position model. The record is from RNAcentral.
UACGUAGGUCCCGAGCGUUGUCCGGAUUUAUUGGGCGUAAAGCGAGCGCAGGUGGUUUAUUAAGUCUGGUGUAAAAGGCAGUGGCUCAACCAUUGUAUGCAUUGGAAACUGGUAGACUUGAGUGCAGGAGAGGAGAGUGGAAUUCCAUGUGUAGCGGUGAAAUGCGUAGAUAGAUGGAGGAACACCGGUGGCGAAAGCGGCUCUCUGGCCUGUAACUGACACUGAGGCUCGAAAGCGUGGGGAGCAAACAGG